This is a long non-coding RNA of Nomia melanderi (Alkali bee), 5641 nucleotides long. RefSeq lists it as uncharacterized. Lineage: Eukaryota; Metazoa; Arthropoda; Insecta; Hymenoptera; Halictidae. The record is from RefSeq and is a predicted model, not a curated record.
CAACAGGGGAAACGAGUCCUCGUUGUGUUCCGUUUAGUCAGUGCUUCUUGUUGGCCGUGAAAAGAGCGCCAGCACUCACGCGUCGAAAUCGAAAACCGUUAUUUCCAUGGACUUGUUAAAACAUUCAAGAAAUAGUAGAUUCAACAAGAGCAACAGAAGAACGUGAAAUGUGGUUAGCCAUUCAUUGGCACUGGUACAGGACAUUGCACUUGCCACACGAUCAGAUGGCUUUGUUCUCCGUAUUCUUCAGCAUUCGCAGUAACAGCAUUGUUUGACCGUUCAAUGCUCUCCUCUGUGUCAUCUCCAUCACCUAAAAAGAAAACAAAAAUUCAUCAAUGGGAAGGUGUAACGCCACGGUCGGACGCAAAGACCCUAACGCCAACUCCAGGUGCAUCGCCUUUGCUACCUACGGCUUGAAUUCUAGAUACUGCCAUUGAACCUCCAGCACCUAUGUUGUAUAAAAAACAAAGGAACUGAAAUUAUCACUCCAUUUCCUGUACCAAUCCACAACCUAUUCGAGGAAAUGAGUAACGCGGUAAUUCUAACAAAAGAAAAGCCAAGUUUCCCUGUCCCGAGCAUUUUGCUAACAUAAGGCUCUAUAUCGACGUCUUGAAGAUGUUGGUAAGUAUGAGCAUGAUAAAGUCUUAAUGUAGAGUCUAGUCUAAUGCUGACCCAUACACCUUCACCCAACCAAGCUAAUUGUCUUACUUGUGAUUCUCGACGUGGAUGAGCAUCUACGGUACACUGAAACCGUAUUUUACGUAUAAUAAAUGCAUUGUACAAUAUGUGCUUUUACCACUAACAGCGGUCAUGCACCUGAUUGAAUGUUGUGGACUACCCAAAGUGAUUACAUGGUACUGUGACAGAUCCCAUUGACCAUCUACACCCCUUCUAAACAACGCUACACUUCCAUCAGCAAGGGCGACAAGAACUCGGCCUUGAACAUGUCUACAUAAAAAUAUAAUUUUGUUACAUAGUGAAUUACAUCUUCUACUGAUUACGUUUAUGUAUACAUACACAAUAGCGAGCGCGGCAUCCUUUAAUUUUACAGAAUGCAAACAGACUGACCACUUAGCCACAGCCGAAUGAACAAACACUGCACCGUUUUGAGCCCCAAGCCACAUAGUUGGUUGUAUCGAAGACAUUUUUUCUAUCGGAGUACCUUCUUCAGGUUCAUUUGUUUCUUUCUCUUCAUUUAUAGUUUCCUGAUCAAUUGUUUGUAUAGAUGCUGUCUCUACGUUAACUUUCACAAAGUGUACUUUUCCAAGAUUUAUUGUUUCACUAUCUACACUUUCCAAACUUUGCGGCUCGGUUGUAUUAUUCUGAUUACUAUCAUCAGAUUUUUCAAGGUUUUCAUUAUUUGGUUCUUCAGAAGCACUAUUUGAAUCUUUUUUCUCAGAACAUACUUGAAUUUCUUGCUUAUUUUUCUGAUUAUUCUGUUCAUUGUUUGCGCUAACAUUUAUUUCAUGGUCGUCAUUAUCUGUUAUUCCAUUGGCAGUUCGAACUGGGUCUUCAUUAACAGGUUGAGCAUAAUCACUCUCUUUGGCUCCAGGUACACUUGCAAUACAAAGUAAAUGUCCUUGGCAAACAUUAAAUACUUCCAAAAUAUCGGCUGGAUUGUUAGCGUCUAUCACAGUCACUUUUGCCAUCAUUCUAAUAUUCUGAGUUGAUGUACAAAUCCAAACCAAAGAACUGAGCUGUUGUUCCAAACGUUCUGCCUCUAUCCUCUGGUUUUCAUUUUCCUGCAGUUCCUUAUCCAAAUGUUCAAUAGCAUCCUCAGCUUCGGUCUUUGAAUUAGUACUUACUUCUUGAGCCUCAGCUGCAUAGAACACACUACCUCCGAUCAUGCAACCACCAUCGCGUGUUUUACCUCCACUUAAAUUUACACCAGCGCCACACCAUAUCUAUGUAAUUAAAGAUGAAAAAAAAAUAUAAGUAAUCAUCUACCCAUUAAAUAAAUUAACCUCCUCACAGUGUAGCCUGAGUAAGAAUCAAAUAAACUAUCAAAGCAUGGAACAGUAUUGUUCAAGAGGGAUACUGGUAAAACACUGUGUAUAGAACUCCUUAAUUUAAUAGCAAAAAGUUUAUUAAAAGUUUAUAUUAUUAUUGCGUAAAUUAUGUUGAUCUUGUAUAUAUAUUAUUAUACAUUAUAAUAAUCUUGUAUUGCAAGAAUUGCACAUUUUGAACUUCUUCAUUCAAAAGAAAAAGUUGGUCAAAGUAUCUAAUUCUUGCAAUAUUUAAUGAUGUUAUUAAAAUCAGUUACUCUGUGCAUCUGAUAAGGCAUUACUGAUUCAUUUAUUACGCUGUAAAAGGAUUAAGAUCUUUACUAUACCUUCAUGCCAGGUUCUGACUCUUGUAAGGGUCUACAGUAGACUGGCACUGGAACGGGCUGUCUCACGGGUGCGCUCGGUUUUCCUGGUAAACUCCAACCAUAAGCUUGUAAUCGACCAUCUUCCUUUCUAACGUGUGCGCGGACUUGACGAUAUUGCUCUCUUCGUUCAUUUGCACGUCUGGCUACGAGUUUUUCAGAAGAUCUGAAAAAAUGUGUUAAGUAUAAAUUAAUUGUCUCAUUGUAAAGUACAGUUAUGAUCAAAGUAGAAUGUUUAAUUAUAGAAGUUAGUAUAAUUUACUGAACACUGUUGUUUGUUCAACCAUUUGUUCCUACGAAGAGUUCCUUCAUCACUGGACACAUUCUUCGAUCGAUAUGAAGACCUAAUUUGAUUGUUCUUUCCAACGUAUCUAAUGUUCAGCUUCAUUAUAACUUGCACACUGAUAUUCAUAUCCAAGGUUUAGAAGCGGAAUGUUAGACAUAGAGCAGAACAGAUUUACCUGCUGGCCAAUAAGCACCCCACCGAAAACCAGAAAUACCAGGUAUAUCUUGACAACACCGUGAAGGAGAGGCAAAGAUGAAACCCGAACGAAAAAUUAAAGCAUAGAGCAAGAGUGAAAUAAAAGCCAAGUUUAUAAUAUAAUCAAAACUUCGUUUAUUUAUUGAUCAAUGAUGAUCGUGUAUUAUUCUUCUUUCAAAAAUGUACAAACUUUUAUUUACAAAACUAUUGCUUUUUAAGCAUGACUUUGCAAUAACAGAUAAUUUACUUCAUUAAAUUCUAGUUACUGUAAUCAGAUAUUUGAUGAUUACUGUAAAUAGUGAAUUCAUAUAUACAUACAUAUAUAUGUUUCAUUUCAAUAUACAUACAGUAAUUUACAAUUUCUUGUACGUAUGAAAAAUAUGACUAAAAAUAGACAUACUAUUAAGAUCAAAUUGACGAGAAAAAGAAAGUUUGUGUCUGUGUGCAUUUGAUCACAAUACCUAUUUAUAUAUGUACACACCCAUAGUCAUUUCUUUGAUUAAAAAAAAAUGGCAGGUAAAGUGGGAGUUUUAACGACAAUUUGUUAAACAACCAUCACAUUUGGAAUUCGCUCAGGCAAAAAAUUAUUUAGAAUUGACUCACAUCUCUUAAGAGCGAUCAAGACUAAUUGAGAGUCGCGACAAAAGAUUAUGGAUCCCAACUGACCAAAGGGGACUCUAAUCUGCAAAGAUGAUGUCGAUUCAAAAAUUACUCGAAAAUCUAGAUCUGAUAUUUUCUCCCAUAAACAGUAUAAAAACCUUCUUUAGUCUUUCUCCUCGAAACGGCUUCAAUAAAAUCAUAAAAUAAAUAUAUGCGUCAAAGUUAUGUUAUGAUUUUUAUAAAAACUUUCAUAGUAGUACGAUCACGGUAUUGUUCUGACAUUUAAAAAAAAAAGAGUAUAAAAUCUUUCUCUAUUCACUGUUCUCAAAACAGCUUCAAUAAAAUAAUAUAAAAUAAAUUUAUGUUUUAAACUUGUGUUAUGGCUUUUAUAAAAACUUUCCUAGUAGAACAAUCACAGUAUUGUGCUAACAUUAAAAAAGAGAGCAUAAUUAUAGAGAAAUGAGUCUCUAUAUUAAAAAAUAGAGACAAAUUUGGCAGGCUUUCAGUGUCAAACUGACAAUAAUAUCUAAGUGCGUGUAUAGAAUUUGAUUGAUUUCUCACAUGGUGUCUCCCUGGUCGAAAAUCUCAUGGCGACCUUUCAACGUACGUCUACGCAUAGUGUCCAAAGGUGGUACUGGAACAACUUGAUUUGUUGGUGCGCUGUACCUCAUUUGAGAUAACGUAUGUGGUCCUCGAACCAGGGGUCCCCGGUCCGCAGUUCCCGUGAAGAGACUACUAAAACUACAAACAGAAAAAGAACAAAUGAUUAUUUACCGUAACCAUUUUGUGAGGUACAAAUGACCUAGCUGUACUAUUGUAGAAGUUUUGAUUUAAUACAAAUGAUACUAACAACUUCCACACUGAACCUUUUCCUCCCGAUAUAUUAGAAGGAUCAGUCUUGUUAGCUCUUAUCAUCUCUGUCCAUCUAACUGCUUCUUGAAGCUCCAUUAAACGUUCUUUGUAUUCGUUUCUCUCCAUAAGUACCCUAGCCAUCUCCACUCUAGUAAACCUUUUUCUUUGUGACAAAGGUACAUCUUCUUCAUCGUCACUCUUGGCUGCUUUUGCUGCUGCUUCGGCUUCUUCUUUAACCUUCUUUAAUUCUUCUUCAAGAGUAGCAACUUUUUGUCGUAAACGAUCUCUUGCUUGUUGCAAACCUCGAACUUCCUCGCGUAAUAUUUCUUGCUCACUGAAAAGUAUAUUCGUAUAAACGUAAUUCAUUACGAAUGUUACACAUAUUUAUAUCAUAAAAUAAUUGACCCCUUUCAUCGCUAUUAGACUCUUUCACACAAAGAUAAACUUAUCACGAUACAUAAUGAUGGUAAUCAUGAGAGAAUUCUGUAAUGACAGUUAUAUUUUUUACUGUCGCAGUUAAAUAUCAACAAUCUCCUAAAUGCGCUAUGUAUACAAAUUUGAAGUAGCGACGGAAUUCAAGUCGUUUAUAAAACUGAAUAAUAUUAUAAGACUAUUUACCUUGUAAGUUCAUCCACUUUAAUAAUUAAAUCGUCUUUAACAAUGUUUAGUGCAUUCCUACAAAAUGAAACAGUUUAUAUAUACAUAAUUAACACGACAGCACAUUGAUGAAAUAUUCACAGGAUACUCACUUUGUGGCUAAAAGUUCAUUAUUUUCCAUAAUAAGAUUCUCCACUUCUUUGCCCAUUCCUAAUAAAAUAUAUCAUUUUAGUAAUACUAGACUCGUUAGAAAUAUAGUUGUUGAAUCAAUUUUUUAAAUAUAAUAAAUUUGAAAAUAAAAUUAGUAAUAUCUUACCGAAGAAGUUGUCACUGACUGAAGGGUAUUUUAUAUCAUGCGAUUAUUUAAUCAAAACAUGGCGACACCGAGUAGAGGUAAAAAUGCAAACAAUGAAACACAGAAAUCAGUAAAUUAGUAUAUCAGUUGUAUAUCUUAUAUAUUAUUGUGUUUUUAUAUUACACUAAUUCUAUAUCAUUUCUAUCAUUAACACUUCGGAGUUCUAAUGUAAUUGAUUAGAAAUAUCAACUGUUAAAAUAUAAAAAAUUACAUUAAUUCGAUUUGAAAAUUAAUUUUUUAUGAAUUUUAUAGAUGCUGUUAGUUUAAAAAAAGACAAGCGGAUUCAACAUAAAAACGAGUAUUGUACUAUUUGAUUCGUCAAUCAUCACACAUGUACAAGUAAUUUUUCUGUACACAUAUGAGUUCGAACUCGAAGGUUUAAUAAGGA